GACGAACGCUGGCGGCGUGCCUAACACAUGCAAGUCGAACGAACAGGCCCUGCUUUUGUUCGUUGCUCGUUUGGCGAACGGGUGUGUUACACGUGAGUAACCUCCCCUUGUCUUUGUGCUACCUUCAGGAAACUCGGGCUCUUAUCUCGUAUGAGCUCUUGCUGCUCGUUGUUGGUUGGAUAGAUUCGGCGGUUGUGGAUCUUCUCGCUGCUUAUCCGCUUCUUGGUGGGGUAGUUGCUUACAAAGCCUUUGACGGGUAGCCGGCCUGAGCGGGUGACCAGCGACAUGGGGACUGAGGUACGGACCAGAAUCCUACGGGAGGCGGCAGUGGGGAAUAUGGCACAAUGGGCGGAAGCCUGAGGCAGCAACGCCGCGUGCGGGAUGACGGCCUUCGGGUUGUAAACCGCUUUCGCCUGUGACGAAGCGUGAGUGACGGUAAUGGGUAAAGAAGCACCGGCUAACUACGUG
Molecule: ribosomal RNA, 468 nt
Filed under: uncultured bacterium
Lineage: Bacteria
Description: partial 16S ribosomal RNA
Rfam family: Bacterial small subunit ribosomal RNA
Source: RNAcentral